AUCGCUUCUUGGCCUUUUGGCUAAGAUCAAGUGUAGCAUCUGUUCUUAUCAGUUUAACAACAAGAUACUUUGAUUCCCAUGUUCAUUGCAGCAUUAUUUACAAUGGCAAGACACAGAAACCACCU
This is a small nuclear RNA of Suricata suricatta (meerkat), 125 nucleotides long. Its record names the gene U2. It matches the Rfam family "U2 spliceosomal RNA". Rfam says of the family: U2 is a small nuclear RNA (snRNA) component of the spliceosome (involved in pre-mRNA splicing). Complementary binding between U2 snRNA (in an area lying towards the 5' end but 3' to hairpin I) and the branchpoint sequence (BPS) of the intron results the bulging out of an unpaired adenosine, on the BPS, which initiates a nucleophilic attack at the intronic 5' splice site, thus starting the first of two transesterification reactions that mediate splicing. NCBI's taxonomy places the organism in Eukaryota, Metazoa, Chordata, Mammalia, Carnivora, Herpestidae. The record is from Ensembl.